CCUACGGGAGGCUGCAGUGAGGAAUAUUGGUCAAUGGGCGCGAGCCUGAACCAGCCAAGUAGCGUGAAGGAUGACUGCCCUACGGGUUGUAAACUUCUUUUAUAAAGGAAUAAAACGAGGCACGUGUGCCUUUUUGCAUGUACUUUAUGAAUAAGGAUCGGCUAACUCCGUGCCAGCAGCCGCGGUAAUACGGAGGAUCCGAGCGUUAUCCGGAUUUAUUGGGUUUAAAGGGAGCGUAGAUGGGUUGUUAAGUCAGUUGUGAAAGUUUGCGGCUCAACCGUAAAAUUGCAAGUGAUACUGGCAGUCUGGAGUACAGUUGAGGUAGGCGGAAUUCGUGGUGUAGCGGUGAAAUGCUUAGAUAUCACGAAGAACCCCGAUUGCGAAGGCAGCUUACUAAACUGUGACUGACAUUGAUGCUCGAAAGCGUGGGUAGCAAACAGGAUUAGAUACCCGAGUAGUC
RNAcentral lists this ribosomal RNA (460 nucleotides) under uncultured bacterium. Its description in RNAcentral is "partial 16S ribosomal RNA". It matches the Rfam family "Bacterial small subunit ribosomal RNA", at positions 338 to 795 of the family's 1533-position model. The record is from RNAcentral.